UCCGUAGGUGAACCUGCGGAGGGAUCAUUACUGAGUUUACGCUCUAUAACCCUUUGUGAACAUACCUAUAACUGUUGCUUCGGCGGGUAGGGUCUCCGUGACCCUCCCGGCCUCCCGCCCCCGGGCGGGUCGGCGCCCGCCGGAGGAUAACCAAACUCUGAUUUAACGACGUUUCUUCUGAGUGGUACAAGCAAAUAAUCAAAACUUUUAACAACGGAUCUCUUGGUUCUGGCAUCGAUGAAGAACGCAGCGAAAUGCGAUAAGUAAUGUGAAUUGCAGAAUUCAGUGAAUCAUCGAAUCUUUGAACGCACAUUGCGCCCGCCAGCAUUCUGGCGGGCAUGCCUGUUCGAGCGUCAUUUCAACCCUCAAGCUCUGCUUGGUGUUGGGGCCCUACAGCUGAUGUAGGCCCUCAAAGGUAGUGGCGGACCCUCCCGGAGCCUCCUUUGCGUAGUAACUUUACGUCUCGCACUGGGAUCCGGAGGGACUCUUGCCGUAAAACCCCCAAUUCUCCAAAGGUUGACCUCGGAUCAGGUAGGAAUACCCGCUGAACUUAAGCAUAUCAAUAAGCGGAGGA
This 574-nucleotide ribosomal RNA is filed under the name Colletotrichum sp. EXMY-39. Its description in RNAcentral is "eukaryotic LSU rRNA". The stretch from base 203 to 356 matches the Rfam family "5.8S ribosomal RNA". Lineage: Eukaryota; Fungi; Ascomycota; Sordariomycetes; Glomerellales; Glomerellaceae. The record is from RNAcentral.